UUAACAAAGAGGCGGCUGGCUAGGCGCCCCCCCCCCCCCCCGCUCCCAGCUCUCCCUUGUCUCCACGACCCACUGACUCCGGCCUGCAAAGGAGGGUCCCAGCGAGAUCUGGAAACGCAAUAAGAGCGGGGGCUCAUUUGCACAUUUCUGCAUAACAUUUGCAUGACAUUCCUAACAGGACAACAGUCCUUCCUCCCCCCUUCCCCCCAGGAUGCGGCCAGGAUCCUCAAUCCCCACUUCUUUCCCUGCUCUCCUCUCCCUGGCCUGUAGUCAUGUCAGGGAGGGCUGGCUCAGCCUGAAAAAAAACAACUGGUAGGGAUAUGCCUAGGUGUGCCUCUCCUCCUUGGCAGAUCUGAGGGGAGAGGGGAUGGGAGUCUUCGUGGGCUCCUGCCUCUACUCAAUACCGCGGCGGGAAGGAUUUAGGUAAGACUCCAAGAAGACUAGACCGGAGACUCUUUCUCUAGGGCAUUUUAAGAGAAGGGACGGCUCUCCAUCUGAAAAGGCUCACCUGCAUUCCCUCAUGGAGACGGAGGGAUGAAUCUGUUGACCCCUCGAGAUCCUUUUCAGCCAGGGAAUUAUGUAACACUACCCCUCAGCUACUGCAGCCUAAAGUCUUUCUUUGGCUGGCUGGUGGUGUUUCUCGUCGAGAGCAGAAGUGGCUAAACGAGGUGCCAUGAGAGCCCUAUAAGGCCUUACGGAGAAGGACAAAGGCCGGGGAAACCAGACUCCUGGGUUUGCUUCCUUGGCUCGGCCCCUCUCCGAGGAAAGGUGAGAGGGCCCAGCCGAAGGCAGCAGAGAGCCUGAGAACGAGAAGACCGAGUGCCGACUCUCUCUCUCCAGUUACUCUCCGCGGAUUCGGGACCCCGGGCAGUACAGUCGAACCAUUCAUCUGGCAGCACAAUAAGAGAUGCUCUCAGCUGUGCAAAGAUAAGGCCGAGUCAGAGUCCUUUCCAGGUAAGUCGUGAGUCCCUACCUCAGCCUGGAAGUAAACCUGGAAGACAGGGGAGCAGCGAUGACGAGUCAGAGAUGAUCAACUGGUUUCUGAAUGGGGAUCACAGAGGAAACGUCAGUUAACUCACCUUCAGAGUCUCCCUGCAAAGACUUUGGAGGGAGCUAAGCCUAGCAGGACACUUGCCACCGGAACAUUCCAAGUCAAAACUAUACCUGCAAACUCCAUCCCAUCGCUAAGUUCAACCUGGCAAAUAAUAAUAAUUUAUAACACUG
This 1224-nucleotide long non-coding RNA is filed under the name Ornithorhynchus anatinus (platypus). Its description in RNAcentral is "lncRNA (ENSOANG00000033032.2)". Lineage: Eukaryota; Metazoa; Chordata; Mammalia; Monotremata; Ornithorhynchidae. The record is from RNAcentral.